RNAcentral lists this unclassified non-coding RNA (577 nucleotides) under Aspergillus flavus. Its description in RNAcentral is "sequence contains ITS1, 5.8S rRNA gene and ITS2". The stretch from base 186 to 339 matches the Rfam family "5.8S ribosomal RNA". Lineage: Eukaryota; Fungi; Ascomycota; Eurotiomycetes; Eurotiales; Aspergillaceae. The record is from RNAcentral.
AAGGGGUAAUAGCGGAGGAUCGAGCGAGCCAACCUCCCCCCGUGUUUACUGUACCUUAGUUGCUUCGGCGGGCCCGCCAUUCAUGGCCGCCGGGGGCUCUCAGCCCCGGGCCCGCGCCCGCCGGAGACACCACGAACUCUGUCUGAUCUAGUGAAGUCUGAGUUGAUUGUAUCGCAAUCAGUUAAAACUUUCAACAAUGGAUCUCUUGGUUCCGGCAUCGAUGAAGAACGCAGCGAAAUGCGAUAACUAGUGUGAAUUGCAGAAUUCCGUGAAUCAUCGAGUCUUUGAACGCACAUUGCGCCCCCUGGUAUUCCGGGGGGCAUGCCUGUCCGAGCGUCAUUGCUGCCCAUCAAGCACGGCUUGUGUGUUGGGUCGUCGUCCCCUCUCCGGGGGGGACGGGCCCCAAAGGCAGCGGCGGCACCGCGUCCGAUCCUCGAGCGUAUGGGGCUUUGUCACCCGCUCUGUAGGCCCGGCCGGCGCUUGCCGAACGCAAAUCAAUCUUUUUCCAGGUUGACCUCGGAUCAGGUAGGGAUACCCGCUGAACUUAAGCAUAUCAAUAAGGCGGAGGAAAACAAUU